This 312-nucleotide small nuclear RNA is filed under the name Notechis scutatus (mainland tiger snake). Its description in RNAcentral is "7SK RNA (ENSNSUG00000003011.1)". It matches the Rfam family "7SK RNA". From Rfam's summary of the family: 7SK was discovered as an abundant small nuclear RNA in the mid-70s but a possible function has only recently been suggested. Two independent studies have found that 7SK RNA binds the CDK9/cyclin T complex (known as elongation factor P-TEFb). The record is from Rfam by way of RNAcentral. Lineage: Eukaryota; Metazoa; Chordata; Lepidosauria; Squamata; Elapidae.
AGAUGUGAAGCUGAUCUGGCUGAGACAUCAGUCACCCAAAUCAGUGGGUUGAUUUGACUGAUCUGGCUGGCUGGCUGGGCAGGUGUCCGUCACUGUUCCAUGAAUGUUGCUUGCAGACUCAAUGGGAGAGUAAAACCAUCCUUGUCGGGAGCAUGUAUAGUUUUUUUGUUACCCUUGAUGGAGACACUCUUCUGCUAGAAUAGCACUAGCCAUACCACUUAGACUUAUAUAUCGUGUGUAUGUGGAGUAGAACCUCCAAACAAGCCUUCAGAAUCUCAUGUAACAUGAAGAUGCAUUCAUGGGCUUUCUAUG